This is a long non-coding RNA of Panthera uncia (snow leopard), 433 nucleotides long. RefSeq lists it as uncharacterized. The transcript is spliced from 2 exons. The record is from RefSeq and is a predicted model, not a curated record. Lineage: Eukaryota; Metazoa; Chordata; Mammalia; Carnivora; Felidae.
AGAAUUUUUAUUUGGAAAAAAUAUCAUCUGUAAUAUGGGCUGUGAGGAAAAUGAAGGGGACAGGGUGCAGUGAUAGAUAAUUAAGGGGUGAUCUAUUUAGAUGGGGGGGAGGGACAAGAAAGUCUUUUCUGGGGCAGCAACAUUUAAGAUUCCUGAAGGCUCGGGGUGCCAGGGUGGCUCAAUUGGUUGAGCAUCUGACUCUUGAUUUCGGCUCAGGUCACGAUCUCACCGACUCUUGGUUUCGGCUCAGGUCACGAUCUCACCGACUCUUGAUUUCGGCUCAGGCCACGAUCUCACCAUCAUGAGAUUGAGCCCUGUGUCGGGCUCUGCACUGACAGCGUGGAGGCUGCUUGGGAUUCUCUCUCUCCCUCUCUCUCUGUCCCUCCCCUGCACUCUCUCUCAAAAUAAAUAAAUAAACUUAAAAAAAAAAAAA